UUUUGGCUCCAAGCCCACGUAUUCGCUCCCAUUCGCCAUUUUCGUCUCUCAAAUCCCAUCUCUCUCUCUCUCUCUCUCUCCAAAUCUCUCCCGGCGAGUUCUUCGCUCAAAAUCUUCGGAACCCAUUUCUUCUUUUUACUCUUUCCCCCCAUAAUUUCGAUUCCUUCAUUUUGAUUUCUCUCCCCUUUACUGUAACGCAAUUCUCAGCAUCAUCACACCUCAAUUACACAAUCCCUAGUUUUCCAAUUUUCAUCUCCCUCCCUUUUCAGCCGUCUUCCCCGCCCUUUAUUCAUGGCUUCCUCUUCUUUCUCUGCUUAGUUGAACAAGACCCACCUCUGAUUUCAGGUUUCUUCGUACCCUUGUAAAUCCCCAAUUUGCGAAUUUUGCUGCCCCUUUUGCUUUUGCUUUUAUUUUUUUUUUAUUUUGCCUGUGUUGGGGGGUGGGAUUUGAUCUGAAUUGAUGAUUCUUUUAGAAGAGGAAAGUGGUAUUUAUUCAAGAUUCAAGGAAAAUGGAGGGAUAUGCAUGGGUCUGGAGGUGAGAGGUGGAAACAGAGGCGGCACAUGUGGCCGGUCCAUUCUAAUUCGACAGCUGUAGCUUGCGAAUUGUCCGCCCCAGAUUUCUUUCUCAAAGAUGGACGCAAAAUCCACGUUGGUGAUUGUGCUCUUUUCAAGCCACCUCUAGAUUCCCCUCCUUUUAUUGGAAUUAUACGUUCAUUCAAGUCGGACAAGGAGACAAAUUUAAGGUUAGAUGUGAAUUGGCUUUACCGGCCUGCUGAUGUGAAGCUCCCAAAAGGAUUAUUGUUAGAUGCUGCGCCGAAUGAGAUCUUUUACUCAUUUCAUAAAGAUGAGAUACCUGUCGCAUCAUUACUUCAUCCUUGUAAAGUUGCUUUCCUUCGCAAAGGCAUUGAACUUCCGUCGAGCAUUUCCUCAUUUGUGUGCAGAAGAGUGUAUGAUACUGAUAACAAGUGUUUAUGGUGGUUAACCGAUAGAGAUUAUAUUAAUGAACGUCAAGAAGAAGUAGAUCAACUAUUAGAAAAGACAAGGCGAGAAAUGCAUGGGGUGGUGCAGUCUGGAGGCCGUUCACCAAAGCCCUUGAAUGGUUCACUUCCAGCCGUGCAGCAAAAAUCUGGUUCAGAAAGUAUACCAAAUAGUUCUUCUCUCACUUCUCACGUUAAAAGCAAGAAAAGGGAACGAGGUGAUCAGGGGUCUGAACCCACAAAGAGAGAGCGGUUAUUUAAAACAGAAGAUGGAGAAUUCGGUCAGUUUAAAUCAGAAAGUACGCUAAAGAAUGAGAUUGCUAAAAUUACUGAUAAAGGAGGACUUGUUGACUUUGAGGGAGUUGAAAAUUUUGUCAAACUUAUACAACCUGACAGUUCUGGUCAGAAAUUAGACUUGGCCGAUCGAGUGAUGCUUGCUGAUGUUAUAGCAGUCACUGAUAGGAUUGAUUGUCUAGGAUGGUUUUUGCAGCUCAGGGGUUUGCCUGUAUUAGAUGAAUGGCUUCAAGAAGUUCGUAAGGGUAAAAUUUGUGAUGGUAAUGGCACGAAAGGAAGUGUUAAAACUGUAGAGGAUUUUCUUUUGGCUCUACUUCGUGCCUUGGAUAAACUUCCUGUGAAUCUCAAUGCUCUUCAGAGUUGUUAUAUAGGUAAGUCUGUGAAUCAUUUACGUACUCACAAAAAUGCUGAAAUUCAGAAGAAAGCAAGGAGUUUGGUAGAUACCUGGAAGAAACGUGUGGAAGCUGAGAUGGAUGUUAAUGAUGCAAAGUCUGAAUCCAGUCAUGGUGUCUCAUGGCCUUCUAAAUCUGGGCCUUUAGAAGUUUCUCAAGUAGGGAGCAAAAAGGCUGGAGGGUCUAGUGAUGAUUGCGUAAAGAGCUCUACACAUUCUAACAUGUUUAAACAUUCUCAAGCUAAAUUCUGUCCCAGUGAAAUGGUUGGCAAAUCAUCUGCAUCGUCGAGCAGCAUGAAGUCUUCUUCAAGCAUGGUUGCUUCAUCAAAGGAUUAUAACUUCAAAACACUAGUUGGUGGGAACUCAGAUCUUCCUUUGACUUCUAUAAAGGAGGAGAGGAGCAGCAGUUCAAGUCAUUCCCAAAAUAACAGUCAGUCAAGUGAUCAUGCAAAAACUGUGGCAUCUUCAUGCAAAGAAGACACUAGGAGCUCAAAUUCUGGUUCAGGAAGUGUUAGCAAAGUUUCUGUGGGUGCUCGCCAUCGGAAGCCUAGCAAUGGUGUUCAUUUGAAUACUCUCACAGGAACACACAAGGUAUCUGGGUCUGGAAAACUUAAUGCCCUAAAUAAGAGUUUGACUUCUGAAAAGGCCUCUACUGCAUCACGUGAGAAAUCUCCAGAUGCGUCACUUGUUGAACAUGGAUAUAGUCGACUUGUUGUAAAGUUGCCGAACACCUGCAAAAAUCCAGUGGGAACUACUAGGGUUGUCACAGAGGAUCAAGUUGUUUCAUGUCACAAAGGAUCUCUUCAUGAUGAGGCAGGUGAUAACCAUGAAAAGAAAGCUAAAGGCAGAAGCGAUUUGCUUGGGGCUAGUUUUGCAACUGAAGUAAACUCAGAUCAAUGUCAUAAGAAAGAUCAAUUUCUCAGCUCAGAGGAGGGUAAAGAGGUAGCUGCCAGCAACGAACGAGGCAGGCUUGCUGCGGCCAAUGAAGGGCAAUCAGAAACCAAUGCUUCAUCGACUGGAAUUAUAUCUAGGCCUGGAAAAACUUAUGAUGCUUCUCUAAGCUCCAUAAAUGCCUUGAUUGAAAGCUGUGUUAAAUUUGCUGAGUCUAAUACAUCAUCAUCACCAGGGGAUGUUGUAGGGAUGAAUCUUCUUGCGAGUGUGGCUACUGGGGAAAUAUCUAAAUCUAAUAAUGCAUCGCCGUUGGAUUCUCCUCAGGAACGAUCACCUAUGGCAGAAGAAUCUUCUGAUGGCAAUGAUGGACAAUUGAAAAAUUUUCCUGAAGAUAUUAAAUGUGAUGAAGAUGAUGCUAAUGGUGAGGCUGGGGGUCGCUCAUCUUCUGAACCUCUUGACAGCAAUAACAUGUUGCAUGAUAGAAAUGGAUCUCAUCCUGCCUCGACCUCAGCUGACUCACCUGAAGAUGGAAGAGGUGUUGCAUUUGGCUCUUCAAGGGAACAUAUUAUGCCAUCAAAUGCUCAGCAAAACAUGGAGAGGACGCCUUCAAAUUGUGAUACAAAACCUUGUGCUGAAGAAUGCAAUGCCUCUGUAGCUGUUGGUUCUUCAUACGGUGUGGAAGAAGGUAAUACAGACACUGUGGAAACAAAUCAGCUUUCUGAUCAAAAUGAACUAGGGCAAUCAAAGUCGCUUCUAGUACAAGACUCAUUAUUGGAAGAGUGUAGCCAACUCCGUGAAAAUGAAAUAGUGGACCAAACUGAUGACAGAGCGACAGAUAAUGGAGUGGCUUUGAAAUCAGAAGUAAAAACUACAUCAGCUCUCGAAGAGGAAAAGCAAUUGGAUGAAAAGACGCCUUGUUUAUCUUCACAAUUAAGUGGUGGCGAUGUUCAGACCCAUGCAGACUUAGAUAGCGGCAGUGGAAUGGAAGAGAAACUGUCAUCUACACCUGAGAUUCACGCAGACUCUCAGGAGGAAAAAAUUGAGACUGCUACAAUGGUUCCUGAUGCCAAUUCUUUUGAUGCAGAAUUUAAGGAUAAAAAAUCAAAUAUUGUGAACUCAGAAAUUCAUGUUAAUCAGAUCGGGAAACAGACAAUGAUUCAGGUUCCUCCUCUGUCAGAUCGGAAAGAUGAUUGUGCAGUGCAGGAUUUGGGAAGAACAGAUGACAUUAAUAAUUGUUGUGGUGGGGUUUCUAUGCACGUGGAAUCUCCCGCCAUUCCCUUACCGGAAAAUGAUCAGGAUGAGAAAUUAAGUUUAAAUAUUCCCGAGUCGACUGGAACCAAAGACCAUGUCACUAGUGAAAAUCCUUCACUUUCUGCUCCAAGGUCAGACACAGUGGUAAAGCUGGAUUUUGAUUUAAAUGAAGGUUGUUCUGUGGAUGAUGUGACACAAGACGAUGUUAUUGGAAGUUCCUCUUCUGUUCAGCUGCCCAUUUUCACACCUUUCUCCAUCCCUUCAGCAUCAGAAAGCUUCCCUGUUUCAGUUACUGUGGCUUCUGCUGCAAAAGGAUCAGUUGUUCCACCAGCGAACUCCCUAGCAAACAAAGUUGAACUUGGAUGGAAGGGUUCAGCUGCUACAAGUGCUUUUCGCCGUGCUGAACCACGAAAAAAUCUUGAAAUGCCACUCAGCUUGAGUGAUGUACCGCUUGUUACUACCACUAGCAAGGAGGGGCGCCCACCUUUGGACUUUGACCUGAACGUGCCGGACCAGAGACUCCUAGAAGAAGUUGCUUUGUCGUCAAAUGUACCGUGGAAAGCAAGUGUUGAUCCAGGGCUUUGUGAUCGAGGUGGUGGACUUGAUCUUGAUUUGAAUAAAGUUGAUGAAAGUCAUGAUGUGGGCCCAUGUUCUAUUGGCAGGAAUAGGUUAGAGCUCCCCAUUUCAAGUAGGCCAUUUGUUUCUGGUGGUUUAGGGAAUUGUGGGUUCAGUGCCUCCAGAAACUUCGAUUUGAACAAUGGUCCUUCCCUUGAUGAAAUGGGGGCAGAAACAGUACCUCUCAGUCAGCAGAAUAAAAGCUACAUGCCAUUUUCAUCACUUCUCCCUGGAAUGAAGGUGAACUCUGGAGAAAUUGGGAACUUCUAUUCUUUGUUUCCUCAGGGUAAUUCAUAUUCAGCAUUAACGGCGAUCCCAUCAGUCUUGCCAGGUAGAGGAGAACAAAGCUAUGUUCCUGCUGCUGUAUCUCAGAGAGUAUUUGCUCCCCCUACAGGCACAGGAUUCACUGCUGAAAUUUAUCGUGCACCAGUGCUUUCUUCCUCUCCUGCUUUGGCAUUUCCACCUGCUAACUCCUUUACUUAUUCUGGGUUCCCUUUCGAAACUAGUUUUCCUGUACAAUCGAACAAUUAUUCAGGUUGUUCUACAUCUUACAUGGAUUCAUCCCCUGGCUGUUCGCUUGGAUUCCCUACCAUCACUUCUCAUUUAUUAGGGCCAGCUGGGGUAGCCCCUACCCCUUAUACAAGGCCGUUCAUUAUGAGUUAUCCAACCGGAAGUAGUGCUGUUGGUCCUGAGAUUGGAAAAUGGGGAAGCCAGGGUUUGGAUCUUAAUGCAGGUCAUGGGAUUAUAGAUAAAGAAAGAUUUGAUGAAAAGUUGCCUUUAGCAUCGAGACAACUUUCAGUUCCCAGUACGCAGCCUUUUGCUGAUGAGCAGCUCAAGAUGUUUCAGAUAGGUGGUAUGCACAAGAGAAAAGAACCCGACAGUGGCUUAGAUGGUUCUGCUAGGUUUAACUACAAACAACAAUGAGUGAGGGCAGUAGCAUUUCAUUGUGGUCACCAACCAAGUCCUGGCCAAAGAAUUACAGACCAAGAAAAAAGAACACAGUAUACGUGCUAAUAGUGGCACCAAUAAUAAAAAAACUGUUUAUGAUGGGGCUGGCGUACUGUUCCCUCUCAAAUGUUGCAGCAACAUCGCUGGUUUUCGGGCAGCUGAAUUUUUCUCUGUGGUGGACACAUUUCGACAGAUUCGUUUCACUAAAAAGCAGACAAGGUUUCAUUUGUGUAAAUAUCUAACUUAAUAGAAAGCAAAGCAAAAGGAAGUUGCUGUGUAGAAAGCUAAUGAAUGGCGUCAGACAUGUGGUCGAUUGCCAUCCAUUCAGACACCUUCACCUUGGAAACAGAAGUGGAUGUAAGAACUUUUGGAGGUUGUGGCCGGCCUUUGUCAGUGAUACUCAAAGCUGUGUUCUCCCUUACAUAUGUAGUUAUUACUUCAUUCUUACUGUUAGGUUCUCUUUUACACUCUUUAUUCAUAGUAAUACACAGAUCCCUUUUCUCUCUUGCUCAUGAA
Molecule: non-coding RNA, 5882 nt
Organism: Cucurbita pepo subsp. pepo (vegetable marrow)
Lineage: Eukaryota; Viridiplantae; Streptophyta; Magnoliopsida; Cucurbitales; Cucurbitaceae
Source: RefSeq, a predicted model, not a curated record